RNAcentral lists this long non-coding RNA (809 nucleotides) under Brassica napus (rape). RNAcentral's name for it is "long non-coding RNA (BNAP_LNC006631)". The record is from RNAcentral. Lineage: Eukaryota; Viridiplantae; Streptophyta; Magnoliopsida; Brassicales; Brassicaceae.
ACACUCUAUACUACUCUAUGCGGGAACUAGGACUGACUAGCCACUACAGUCAGUUAAUGCAUUUUAUCAUUUCAUAUCGUCAUCUGUAAUUUCCACAUUCAAUUCCAUACAUUUCUAACAACCUAGUGAUCAAUCAAUACAAUGAUCUCACUCAUUGCCACACACGUCAAACCCUAGACUUAACCGACUCAUCUUACCAGUCCGACUCGAUCCUAUGACACCUUUAACUCCCCGUUACCCGACCAUGAGCUAAAGACCCUACAAUGCACAUCCUUUUCAUCAAUACGUCCUUUUCAUCAGUGGGUAGCCCCAACUAGGCUUCUACCCCAUAUUCUUGUGGAUUGGCCACAUCUCCUAUGGGUGCUUCCAUAUUCAUGUGGAUUGGCCACAUCUCCUAUGGAUACCUAGCGUGAACUACUACAACACAUACUUUCCUUAGACUCUAUAUGCUUUCCCACCCAUGCUUAACCUUAACGUUAUUCUUCUAUACUUUCACUUAUCCUUUCACAUCCUUAUCAAUUACACUUAUCCCUUCUCAUUUUUCAUUUACUUUCCCUUUUCAUUUAGACUUGUACUUGGACUCAUUCACUAGACGCCACCCGUUAUCGGUGUCGCACACAAUACACAUCGCACUCAAGUUCUACUUCAAUAACAUUAACAAUCAUUACUCAUCUAUCAGCUUAGCAUUCAUUUCUCUCUAGCAUCCUAGCUUUAAUCACAAACCACACAUGGGACUACACAUCCAAACAUACAAGCAUCACUCAUCAACCAAUCAACAUCACCACAACAUAGAUCAGUUCAUCAAGUCC